GUUUUCCAUGUGCAGUCACAGAAUUCCCACAAUGUUUGUGCAUUCGACUUCAACAGUCCCAGGGUACCAAGGCUCUGUGUGACUCCAUGAGGCUGCCACAGCUUUGGAGAGCAGGCUACUUCCUGCACCAGCCACCUUCCCAGUGUGGAGGUCUCUGCUGGUUGAUCUGGGCUCCUGCCAAAAUGGCACCUUCUGCCUGCUAGUUUGGGUGCUCUGUAAGAGUCCUUGUGACUCUGCUCAGACUGCUCAAGUUGAACUUGAUGGCGCUUCCUGGAUCAUACCAGAUGUGAGCUGCAGAGUUAGUGGGUUCCCAGGGCGGUUGGGGCGGUCUAGAGCCACCCUCUCCCCACACAGUCCCUUGGCCUGCUAAAGAAGGAAGGAAAGUUGAUACUUGCAUAGUUACUGCCUUCAGAACAGGUGACGCCGGCUCCAACCAGUUAGCCAAACUGGACGCUGUUCCUGGUAAUCUUGCUUCA
This is a long non-coding RNA of Ochotona princeps (American pika), 476 nucleotides long. RefSeq lists it as uncharacterized. NCBI's taxonomy places the organism in Eukaryota, Metazoa, Chordata, Mammalia, Lagomorpha, Ochotonidae. The transcript has 3 exons. The record is from RefSeq and is a predicted model, not a curated record.